This 468-nucleotide ribosomal RNA is filed under the name uncultured bacterium. Its description in RNAcentral is "partial 16S ribosomal RNA". It matches the Rfam family "Bacterial small subunit ribosomal RNA", at positions 28 to 507 of the family's 1533-position model. The record is from RNAcentral.
GACGAACGCUGGCGGCGUGCUUAACACAUGCAAGUCGAACGGAAAGGCCCUGCUUUUGUGGGGUGCUCGAGUGGCGAACGGGUGAGUAACACGUGAGUAUCCUGCCCUUGUCUUUGGGAUAACUUCAGGAAACUGGGGCUAAUACAGGAUAGGAGCUCCUGAUGCAUGGUGGGGGUUGGAAAGUUUCGGCGGUUGGGGAUGGAUUCGCGGCUUAUCAGCUUGUUGGUGGGGUAGUGGCUUACAAAGGCUUUGACGGGUAGGCGGCAUGAGAGGGUGACCGGCCACAUUGGGACUGAGAGACGGACCAGACGCCUACGGGAGGCAGCAGUGGGGAAUAUUGCACAAUGGGCCGAAGUCUGAGGCAGCAACGCCGCGUGCGUGAUGACGUCCUUCGGGGGGUAAACCGCUUUCGCCUGUGACGAGGCGUGAGUGACGGUAAUGGGUAAAGAAGCACCGGCUAACUACGUG